UACGGAGGGUGCGAGCGUUGUCCGGAAUCACUGGGCGUAAAGGGCGCGUAGGCGGCGCGAGCAGUCGAUCGUGAAAGUCCGGAGCCCAACUCCGGAUCGGCGGUCGAUACUCUCGUGCUUGAGCACUGUAGAGGCAGAUGGAAUUCCGGGUGUAGCGGUGGAAUGCGUAGAGAUCCGGAAGAACACCGGUGGCGAAGGCGGUCUGCUGGGCAGUUGCUGACGCUGAUGCGCGACAGCGUGGGGAGCAAACAGG
This 253-nucleotide ribosomal RNA is filed under the name uncultured bacterium. RNAcentral describes it as "partial 16S ribosomal RNA". It matches the Rfam family "Bacterial small subunit ribosomal RNA", at positions 524 to 776 of the family's 1533-position model. The record is from RNAcentral.